This 253-nucleotide ribosomal RNA is filed under the name uncultured bacterium. RNAcentral describes it as "partial 16S ribosomal RNA". It matches the Rfam family "Bacterial small subunit ribosomal RNA", at positions 524 to 776 of the family's 1533-position model. The record is from RNAcentral.
UACAGAGGGUGCAAACGUUGCUCGGAAUUACUGGGCGUAAAGCGCGUGUAGGCGGGCUUAUAAGUCAGAUGUGAAAUCCCUGGGCUCAACCUAGGAACUGCAUUUGAAACUGUAAGUCUUGAGUGGUGGAGAGGGAAGCGGAAUUCCUGGUGUAGAGGUGAAAUUCGUAGAUAUCAGGAGGAACAUCUGUGGCGAAGGCGGCUUCCUGGACACCUACUUACGCUGAGACGCUAAAGCGUGGGGAGCAAACAGG